RNAcentral lists this long non-coding RNA (3784 nucleotides) under Podarcis lilfordi (Lilford's wall lizard). The record is from RNAcentral. Lineage: Eukaryota; Metazoa; Chordata; Lepidosauria; Squamata; Lacertidae.
ACUGAUUUGGGAUCAUAUCUGGCCAAUGCCGGAUCACCUUGGGUUAGAUUGGGUCCACCUGGAGUGAUUUUGAAUGUGAGAAUGGGACAUGUGUCUGGCAGCUGGGGAGAAGGAGACAUGCAGUGAAGUGUAAUAAUAAUAAUAAUAAUAAUAAUUUAUACCCCGCCCAUCUGGCUGGGUUUCCCCAGCCACUCUGGGCGGCUUCCAACUGAAUAUUAAAAACAAUACAGCACCAGACAUUAAAAACUUCCCUAAACAGGGCCACCUUCAGUUAUCUUUUAAAAGUAAAAUAGUUGUUUAUUGCCUUGACAUCUGCUGGGAGGAUGUUCCACAGGGCAGGCGCCACUACCGAGAAGGCCCUCUGCCUGGUUCCCUGUAAUCUCCCUUCUUGCAGCGAGGGAACUGCCAGAAGGCCCUCGGAGCUGGACCUCAGUGUCCAGGCUGGAUGAUGGGGUGGAGAUGCUCCUUCUGGUAUACUGGACUGAGGCCGUUUAGGGCUUUAAAGGUCAGCACCAACACUUUGAUUUGUGCCUGGAAACAUACUGGGAGCCAAUGAAGAUCUUUUAGGACUGGUGUUAUAUGGUCUCGGCAGCCACUCCCAGUCACCAGUCUAGCUGCCGCAUUCUGGAUUAAUUGCAGUUUCCGAGUCACCUUCAAAGGUAGCCCCACGUAGAUGGAUUUUUGUGUGGAAAGACUGUAAACUCAGUUCAGUUCUGGUGUUCCUGGACUCUGAAUUCUUACAUUCUCAGUGUAUGUCUUGGGCACAAAGUUGGUUGCACGAGUUGUUGAAUCUUGUUACUCAAGUAAAAACCACAGAUCCCAUAGACCCAACCCUGACUUAAGUAGAUUAGUUCCCCCUUUACCCCUUGGAUAUCUUCACAAUAAGGGUAGGAUUUUCCUACUCUUGGAGUGCAUGUCAAUGGGUCAAGGGAAGAUUGGAAAUAUCAAAUUAGAGUUUAGUAGAUUUCUCAGAUGAAUUAGAAAGGCCUGACCUUGUGUAUGUGGUGUAUAUUUAUAUCCACUGACCUUUCGAUCGGCAAGCCCAGGAGGCUCAGUGGUUUAGACCACAGCGCCACCUGCGUCCGCGUGAAGGGGUGAGCUCUUGUUGCUCUGUCCCAGCUUCUGCCAAUCUAGCAGUUUGAAAGCAAGUAGAUAAAUAUGUACCGCUGUGGCGGGAAGGUAAACAGCAUUUCCAUGUGCUAUGGUUUCCAUCAUGGUGUCCUGUUGCACCAGAAGUGGUUUAGUUAUGCUGGCCGCAUGACCCAGAAAGCUGUCUGUGGACAAAUGCCAGCUCCCUCGGCCUGAAAGCGAGAUGAGUGCAACAACCCCAUAGUCACCUUUGACUGUAUGUAACCAUCCAGUGGUCCUUUAUCUUACCUUUGCCUUACAUAUAUAUAUAUAUCCUGAGAUAUUUACAUAAGAAAAUUAAUACUUAUAUUGGAAGGGGCAUGGCCAGCUGCCCUAGCACUGAGCAUGAAAACUGAAGUCAUUGCAUGCCCAUUUUUCUUAAUGCCUAACCGAGAUAUUUAGUUGCAUUUCUCUCAAGUGCGUCAAGUAUGAACAAUGAAGAGAAGCAUGAAUAAUGGAUGCCAUCUGUUUAAGAGGUAUACUUUUGCCAUAAAGCUUGUGGCCAUGAAACUCUGUGCCAAUCAUUCGCAGAGAAGGCAAAAUCGAUGCAUCCGCCUUGGAGCAAAUUCCUAACGUUGGCAGUGUGCUGUGAUGUCGGGACCAGGUAGAAACAGGAUGAAAGGAAACAUGGGAGGGAGUGCUUAGGAGGUACUUUUUAGUAACCACAGCUUGAGGAAUUACAUGAUGAGACCUUAGAAGGCUCCCUCAGUUGGGGAACACAAAUCUGGGACGCUGAAGAUCCUUGACAUGAAGAUACCAGGUGAUGGGAAAGAUCUUUGCCCAAGGCCCUAGGGCAGUGGUUGUCAAAUGGCAUGGCGCGCCACACUGGUGUGGCUAGAGAGAAUGGCAAGUGUAGUGGGAAGAUUCAAGGACAAUCAAAGAAACAUUUAAACAUUUCAGUAUAAUAUACAGUGGUACCUUGGGUUACAUACGCUUCAGGUUACAGACUCCGCUAACCCAGAAAUAGUGCUUCAGGUUAAGAACUUUGCUUCAAGAUGAGAACAGAAAUCGUGCAGCGGCGGUGUGGCAGCAGCGGGAGGCCCUAUUAGCUAAAGUGGUGCUUCAGGUUAAGAACAGUUUCAGGUUAAGUACGGACCUCCAGAACGAAUUAAGUUCUUAACCCGAGGUACCACUGUAGGAUGGUAUCAAAGUAUUUUUUUAUUUGCAAAAUAUGGAUAGAUAUCUUUUAAAAAUGAGAGCAAGAGACAAAGGGUUUCCCUAUGUAUUCCUUAUCAACAACAACAACGAAAAGGUGUGGUGCAAGCAAAUUUUUAUUCUGAAAGUGUGGCCCAGAGAAAAAAGUUCGAGAACCAGUGUGCUAGAGAGAUCCUGCCAGUCAGAGCACCACCACCGCCACCAUCAUCAUCACCAUUAUCGUUUAAGGUAAUUAAGGAGCCCAGGGAAGCAAACAAGUAUCAAAAUGAUACUACCCAACAAUACUGGCCAGAUCAUGGAUUAAUAGCCUGACCUGGUAUAAGACAUCGUCCAAAAUCCAAAGCUUGGGGAGAUGUUUUCAUGUGCUUCAACUGUCCCUGCUUCCUGAUCACUAGCCUUAUUUUUGCCUGGGUCAAUUAGUUUCUAGGUCUGGCAGCCUUUGGAGUUCUGUUCACCCUCCAAACUGCCUAGUUGGGGAAUCCAUAGUCCUUCAAGUGUUGAUGAGUUACAUAAGUAGAGCCUGCUGGAUUGGGCCAGUAUCCCAUCUAGUCCAGCAUCCUGUUCUCCUAGUGUCCAACCAGAUGCCUUCAAAAGCAACUCCCAUCCUCCCUGAUCAUUGGCCAUACUGACUGGGGUUGAUAGGAGCUGGAAGUCCCACUACAUCUGGAAGGGGGCAGUUCCCCAUUCCUAUUCUAGAGAUGAAAUCCCUGCAUAGCUGUCAACUUUUCCCUUUUCUUGUGAGGAAUCCUAUUUGGAAUAAGGGACUUUCCCUUAAAAAAAGGGAAAAGUUGACAUCUAUGAAUCCCUGGCAAGGGUGUGGUGAGCAGAUGGAUGUAUCUAGUCUCUGGUGUGCAUACAUGUAAAUACACAAGGACAAUUAAAAAACCAUUUAAAUACUUCAAUGCAUUGUCUCUAGUAUAAUUUUUUUAUUUAUUUGCAGAUUAUGGAUAGAUAUCUGCCUGAUACUGAGUUAGACGACUGGUCCAUGGAGAUCAGAGUUGCCAACACUGAUGGGCAGCAGCCCUCCCAAAUUUCAGACAGGGUCUUUCCCAUCCCUACCUAGAGAUGCCAAGAAUUCAACUGGAACCUUUUGCAUGCAAAGAAGAUUUUCUGCCACUGAGCUGCAGGCCACAGCCAUUCUCUAACUUCCCAGUGGAUUGUUUUACACUUGGAUUAUGUUUUGACUUUGCAGAACAAAACCCAACUCAUUUUAAGCCUCUGUUCCACUUGCCAGCAGUUGCAUUUCUGCUUAAUAUCAUAAUGUUAUUUUUAAAAAAUCUACAAAGCUUCUUUAUAUUUGUCAAAGGUUCUUUUAAGGAGUUGAUCCAAAGGGAUUAAUUGCUUAUAAUAGCUAAUGGAUUGUGCUAUCAUCAAAGAUGCCUUCCACUUAAAGAUAAUAAUAUAUGGCUUUGGAGACAACUUGGUAUAUACAGGAGCAACGUUUAUUGAAAUCUAAGUGAAUGAUCCGCAAUAAAUUUUUGCCAUUGCUGUCAGUCUGGGC